RNAcentral lists this ribosomal RNA (465 nucleotides) under Clostridioides difficile. RNAcentral describes it as "bacterial SSU rRNA". It matches the Rfam family "Bacterial small subunit ribosomal RNA", at positions 338 to 795 of the family's 1533-position model. The record is from RNAcentral. Lineage: Bacteria; Bacillati; Bacillota; Clostridia; Peptostreptococcales; Peptostreptococcaceae.
CCUACGGGGGGCUGCAGUGGGGAAUUUUGGACAAUGGGGGCAACCCUGAUCCAGCCAUGCCGCGUGCAGGAUGAAGGCCUUCGGGUUGUAAACUGCUUUUGUCAGGGACGAAAAGGACCGUGUUAAUACCAUGGUCUGCUGACGGUACCUGAAGAAUAAGCACCGGCUAACUACGUGCCAGCAGCCGCGGUAAUACGUAGGGUGCAAGCGUUAAUCGGAAUUACUGGGCGUAAAGCGUGCGCAGGCGGUUCUGUAAGACAGAUGUGAAAUCCCCGGGCUCAACCUGGGAAUUGCAUUUGUGACUGCAGGACUAGAGUUCAUCAGAGGGGGGUGGAAUUCCAAGUGUAGCAGUGAAAUGCGUAGAUAUUUGGAAGAACACCAAUGGCGAAGGCAGCCCCCUGGGAUGCGACUGACGCUCAUGCACGAAAGCGUGGGGAGCAAACAGGAUUAGAUACCCCGGUAGUC